GUAUUGACUGUGUAUGCAUGCAUGCAUCUAUCGAACUUCGUGCACAUAUAGACGUGAUGCUUUGACGAUAAAUACUUAUUAAAAUUCAAAUUAUUUAUUUCUGCCUUGUAAAGGUACAGACAGCAGAGGCGCAGAAAAAGCUGUCAGAUACAGAUUGACAAAGCCGCAGCCCCCUUUCGCUUGGCAGAGCCUUCACAGCGACACUUUUAAAACAAAGACAAUUACACCCGGUAAUAACAGGUAUACAAUACUGAGCAAGUACAAAAGGAAACCAAUCAAGAUUAUACGAUAUUUGUACAAUACUCCCAAACAAGAAAACAGAACCUACAUGCUAACGUACAUAGCACCCAAAGUACUGUUCGACACGUUGAAGAAGUCAAAAUUAUUGUUCACAUAAGGUAUAUACAUAUUCGUAUAGCGCUACCAAUCCCUGCAAAAUAUAGAACGCAGAUUUUCAUUACACACACGCACGCACGCACGUGCACAGCACACACACCAAAAGGAAACGGCAACGCGCUCACAGGAAGCGCCUGAAAAACGAAAAAAAAAAGGAAAAGUGUGGGGAACCGAGGUCGUCUUGGGCUGUCGCCUCUCCCUCUCCCAGAAGGAAUGAAGAGGUUCUUGGAAAGCAGGGACGGGCGAUUCUCUCUGUCAGCAUCAGCUCGAGGACGGGGCGAGAAAGCGAAACGGGACUUUCCUUGCUGUCUAUUUUUUCUUCGUCAGGCCAACGCCGCUUGCUUGCAGGGGCGCAGGCGAGUUCCCGCCAAAUGGCGCGGGUGCGUGAGUUGCCGCCAAAUGCUAGCUCUGGAUGCCAGCUCGUUCCGCGUCUCAUGGUAGACUAGUUGGUGCAUUUCUGCUAUCAUGGACUGCGCAUAUAAACGCAAGCUACACAAAAGUGACAUGGACAAGAACAGCGCAAGCCCUUUACAUGCAGUGGAGCCGCCGUAUCUCGCCGUUCAAGAUAUGCGUACUCGAAAAAAAAAAAGAGGCUUUACAUGAGAACGGAUCAAGCGUUCGAGAGUUGGGACAGGGAAAUGUGAGACGUACGUAUGUAUAUAUUUCUAAUAUUAUUUUUUCGUCUUGUAUUCUCGUUAAUUUUUCUCUAGGAAACACUGGAACGACACUGCUUAAAUUGAAGCACAGUGUGCGAAUGACCUGCUACGCUCGGAACUGUUAUCACCAUUCGGGAAGAAAUUGGGUAAGAAUGGAUUGUGUGUGGCGCGCUUCACCGCAUGUGGACUAGAGUAGAUCUAGGAACAUCAGACAAGAAGACACGUAUGUGAAACCCUGCGGAUAGCCCAUAUGUGAACUUUUUUUCCAGAUACGGAGGAACGGACACCGGUCAUGCCGUGCGCACUCUUCUGCAGGGCAUACUUACAAAUGAAGCUGCACUGCAGUUCAGCUGGAAAGGGUCGCAGGGGAGGAAGCACGCCUUCGUGAAGCUCAUGGCCAUCACGAAUAUAACAUCUGUGAGGAGCACGUUCCCUGACGCUUCACUAGCAUCAGUGGCUGGAGUCGCAAAACGCCGGUUGGUUGGAGCAGCUGACAGGGAUGGAGGCCGGAAUGAAAGAAGGCGCCGUGACCCUGCUUCAAGCCCACCAAAUAUGAACUAGUGUUUGAAACUUGUGAACGUGUCGGUGUACAUAUACAAUUACAAGAAAUAAAGACCUGUAUCAGAA
This is a non-coding RNA of Dermacentor andersoni, 1679 nucleotides long. The record is from RefSeq and is a predicted model, not a curated record. NCBI's taxonomy places the organism in Eukaryota, Metazoa, Arthropoda, Arachnida, Ixodida, Ixodidae.